RNAcentral lists this ribosomal RNA (116 nucleotides) under Escherichia coli. RNAcentral describes it as "partial 16S ribosomal RNA". It matches the Rfam family "Bacterial small subunit ribosomal RNA", at positions 1 to 107 of the family's 1533-position model. RNAcentral also lists the same sequence under 1 other name. Lineage: Bacteria; Pseudomonadati; Pseudomonadota; Gammaproteobacteria; Enterobacterales; Enterobacteriaceae. The record is from RNAcentral.
UUAAAUUGAAGAGUUUGAUCAUGGCUCAGAUUGAACGCUGGCGGCAGGCCUAACACAUGCAAGUCGAACGGUAACAGGAAGCAGCUUGCUGUUUCGCUGACGAGUGGCGGACGGGU